This 502-nucleotide ribosomal RNA is filed under the name uncultured Chloroflexota bacterium. RNAcentral describes it as "bacterial SSU rRNA". It matches the Rfam family "Bacterial small subunit ribosomal RNA", at positions 355 to 871 of the family's 1533-position model. Lineage: Bacteria; Bacillati; Chloroflexota. The record is from RNAcentral.
UGAGGGAUAUUGCACAAUGGGCGAAAGCCUGAUGCAGCGACGCCGCGUGGGAGAAGAAGGCCUUCGGGUUGUAAAUCCCUUUUCUGCGUGACGAGGAAGGACGGUAGCGCAGGAAUAAGUCUCGGCUAACUACGUGCCAGCAGCCGCGGUAAAACGUAGGAGACAAACGUUAUCCGGAGUUACUGGGCGUAAAGGGCGUGCAGGUGGUUCGUUAAGUCUGGCGUGAAAGCCUCCGGCUCAACCGGGGAAAGUCGUCGGAGACUGACGAACUAGAGGGCAGUAGAGGCGUGUGGAAUUCCGGGUGUAGUGGUGAAAUGCGUAGAGAUCCGGAGGAACACCAGUGGCGAAGGCGACACGCUGGGCUGCACCUGACACUCAGACGCGACAGCAUGGGGAGCGAACGGGAUUAGAAACCCGGUAGUCCAUGCCGUAAACGAUGCCAGCUCGACGUUCACACCGCACCGCGGUGGGGGUGUCGAAAGUCAACACGAUAAGCUGGCCG